UUACCAGCUUGAAAUGAAGUAAUUUCCGCAAGGUACAGGUGCUGCAUGGCUGUCGUCAGCUCGUGUUGUGAAAUGUUGGGUUAAGUCUCGCAACGAGCGCAACCCUAUCUUAGUUGCCAGCAUAUGGGACUCUAGGAGACUGCCCGGGUUAACGGGAGGAAGGUGGGGAUGACGUCAAGUCCUCAUGGCCCUUAUGCUGGGCUACACACGUAAUACAAUGGCAUACAAGGGGCAACGCGAGUUUAGCAAUCUCAAAAUGAUCUCAGUCCGGAUUGGAGUCUGCAACCCGACUCCAUGAAGUUGGAAUCGCUAGUAAUCGGAAUCAGCACGUCCGGUGAAUACGUUCCCGGGCCUUGUACACACCGCCCGUCACACCAUGGGAGUUGUUUANUUAA
This 395-nucleotide ribosomal RNA is filed under the name uncultured bacterium. RNAcentral's name for it is "bacterial SSU rRNA". It matches the Rfam family "Bacterial small subunit ribosomal RNA", at positions 971 to 1422 of the family's 1533-position model. The record is from RNAcentral.